AAUCCAGCAUUCAUUGUUCAGUUUGUAUAGUUGCUUCAAUGUCUUUAAUAUUUUCUGACAACUCCUCUUAUUCUCUUUCACUCCCAAUAGUGUUAUUCACUCUUUCGUUUCAAUUAAUUUUCUCCUUUUUUUACCUGUUUUUCUAAUUUUUUAGUGAAUUUCAAAUUUUGAAUUUAACUGCCAUACAUCAUACGAAUCACUCUUAUUUAUAACCCCUUAAUUUUAUUAUUCACUGCAGUUUUGUGGUUGCUCCUCCAUUUUCUUAUUUUUCAAUUCGUUAUCGUGGUGGUGAUGGAGGGCGUUGUAAACAGGUAGUAUAUUUGGAACAUUUGGAAGAUUCUCCAGUAAGCUUCUCGCGUGGUUACAGUUGUUACGCUUGGUGAAGAGCAUGGUGGUGGAUACAGGAGAGGAGGCAAUAGUGGUGGUGCUUGCUACAACUGCGGUGGCAUGGGUCACAUGGCCACGGAGGAGAAGUUGCAUUUCGACUGCAAUGUGAGGAAUCCAACAUGGACGUCGGUUAUGUAUAGGGUCUUCAUAUGCAUCAUUUGCUCCGCUGUUCAUAGCAUCUUCGAAGUGCAUAUUAGCUUCCUCAGGAAGGUUUCUUUGCUGAUUGUUUAAAUUGUGAUGAUUUCAUGAUAAGUUUUUUCGUGGAUGUUGGCAUUAGAAAUCUGGUAAGACAAGUUAAACAGCUUGCUCUUCUUGCUUGACACACUGGUAAGUAAGUGGAAUGCAUUUCAACUGUCUUGAAGAGGAGGGCAUGAGGGUUGGGUUCUUUAAGAUGUUAUAUAUGCAAUGUUUGUUCAUCUGAGCUCUGCCUCUACCAUUCAGUCAUCAUUUAUUUAUGUCGUUCUUCUGGCGCUUGCUACAGCUGUGGUGGGGAUGAGCCAUAUGGCCAGGGAUUGCAACCAAGGAGGACGCAGAUGUGGAGGCAUGCACGGCGAUGGUGGUGGCAGUGGAUCCGCUAACAACUAUGGGGAAUCUAGGCAUUUUACAAGGGACUUCUAAACAAGCUCUUUGAAAACAAGAUGUGUUUCGAUUGCAAUGUGAAGAAUCCAACAUGAGCGUCUGUUACGUAUGGCUUCUUCAUAUGCAUCGAUUGCUCCGCUGUUCAUCGCAGUCUAAGAGUGCAUAUCAGCUUUUGGGUACAUUCCUCUCUCUUAAAUUCACGGUUUUCUUUCCAUUUUUGUAACUGGUUUACUUCAAAUCUGGACCUUUUUUUUUUUUGUUUUGUUUUUCUUUUUGCCUCAUGUUAUAUGAAUUCAUGUUCAUAAUACUGAGAAAACUCGAGUUUUUAGCUUCUCAAAUUUGUUGUUAAAGUAUUUUUUAGAAGGAAAAUGGAUGGGUGGAUGAGAGUGUCAUUUUGAAGCAUAGCAACUUGGAACAUUUUUCUGGCUUUAUCACUCUGCAGGCUUCCUUCCUCACGAACACCUUUUUAAUUUAUUUUUAUUUUUAAAUAACUUUGGCUAAAAUUGAUCAGAGCAGUGAACUAUUUGUGUUUGAACAUUAGCUCCUGAGGCAUUGAUAUGAACAGAAAGCUUUCAGCUUAUUUUGUCUUAGUUAGGUAUUUUUUUCAACCGCUGAUGUGUGCAUGUGCCUUUGAAGUAUAUGCAUACUUCUAGAAUUUUUAUGUUUAAAUUUUAGUAGAAAUUAUUGUCAUAAAGGAUGCAUUUAUUUGUGAUUUUGGGGUGCAGAAAGUACCUUUCUUUUUUUCACAAUUUUAGUAUUAUUUAAUAUGUGAUUGUGGUAUAGAUGUUGUGGAUGCAUGCAACUUUGGAUGUGAACAUUUGAAAAUGUUACUGUAUCUUAAAUACUAUGCAAUGUGCAUUUUCUGACUGAACCCGUGAAAUUCAAAUUUCAUAUGGACUUUUCUCUUAUAUGGUACAAAUGGGGAUGGAUUUGCAAUUAGCAAAGCAGUAGAUAAAAUUAAAGGCAUUCAUGGUAAGUUGCUAAAUGAAGCUGAGGUGGUAGCAGCUAUUGAAGAGAAAGAAACUCAUGCUUUUGAAAUUAAUCAUUCUCAGCUUGAGUUUACAUCAAUUGGUGAAAAAGACAUCUUUGAUGAAUAAGGUAUUCUUUGGUAUUUGAUUGUCUUCAAAAUUAUUUAUCUUUAUUGAUUCUUAUUGUAUUUUUUUGUGAUUUAUUUUUGUAUAGUUUAACGGUAUACCAAAGAGCUACAAAUUCUUAUAUUUUCCUAAUAAAUAUAAUUUAAAAAUGUGAAUAAUAAGUUUAGCAAUUAGUACAAAGAAACUAUUGGGCAGAUUUUUUAUCAAAGGAGGUGCAAUAAGAACAUAGGAUUUUCACCUUACAAGUUUGUGAUUGGUAAUUAGUUGUACUCUUAUUUCUUUUUCCUUUUUUGGUGCUUCUGUGUGUGUUUGAGCAUAUCUAUAUGCAUCGACUGGAUAAUUAGGAAAUGUUAUGAAUUUUGGAGAUUUAGUUGACCAUUGAUAGAAAAAUGUUAUGUGUUGGAUUAUCAUAUGACCAUUUGUAUUUAGAUCCUCUUUAUUAGGUUUUGUGCAUUGUGCAUCCAGUUUUUUUUUAAAAAAAAAUAACCAUUUAUGUUUUUAAAAUAAUUUAGGAUUAAGAAGUUCUUGAAAGACUUGCUCAUGUGAUUGAUAAAUUUGAUAUCAUUCAGUAGUUGAGCAAUUAAGUGGACAAGAAGAUUCUAUAUAUCUAUGUGUUCUUUUUUAUUUGUUUUUGAAAGAGUUGUGUGCUAAUUUUGAUUUGUCUAUAUAUUGUAUUUUUAAUUUUUUUUAUUUGAGGGAUAUAAUUUUGGCUUUAAAGAUUUUUUAUUAUCAUAUUAAAUUAGUUUAUAACAAUUUAUAGAAAUCAAAAUUUUGCACCAUCUGUUUUUUUGGAUAACAGGUUUGGUUUCGUAGCACAAUUUUUUUUUUUUUUGCAAUUUUGGUUUAGUAGCACUUGCCUUUUUCAGAUUUCGAUGGAGGGAAGAAGUAAUCUUCAAUGCUUUUAAAUAAUUUACUAUACAAGUGAUACAAUUGGUAUCCCGAAAGAGUAAUUUGAGAGGCUUCUCAACUUCAAUCCAUUAAGAAGUAGUCUAUAUAUACAAAUUAAAAUU
Non-coding RNA from Arachis ipaensis, 3070 nucleotides. NCBI's taxonomy places the organism in Eukaryota, Viridiplantae, Streptophyta, Magnoliopsida, Fabales, Fabaceae. The record is from RefSeq and is a predicted model, not a curated record.